AGACGUCUACAUUAGAUACCCGCGUAGUCCCAGCCGUAAACUAUGCGCGUUAGGUGUAUCGGUGACCACGAGUCACCGAGGUGCCGAAGGGAAACCGUGAAACGUGCCGCCUGGGAAGUACGGUCGCAAGGCUGAAACUUAAAGGAAUUGGCGGGGAGCACAACAGCGGGUGGAGCCUGCGGUUUAAUUGGACUCAACGCCGGGAAGCUCACCGGAUAAGACAGCGGAAUGAUUGCCGGGCUGAAGACUCUGCAUGACUAGCUG
Molecule: ribosomal RNA, 264 nt
Filed under: uncultured archaeon
Lineage: Archaea
Description: partial 16S ribosomal RNA
Rfam family: Archaeal small subunit ribosomal RNA
Source: RNAcentral